CCUGAUGCAGCAACGCCGCGUGAGGGAUGACGGCCUUCGGGUUGUAAACCUCUUUUAGUAGGGAAGAAGCGAAAGUGACGGUACCUGCAGAAAAAGCACCGGCUAACUACGUGCCAGCAGCCGCGGUAAUACGUAGGGUGCAAGCGUUGUCCGGAAUUAUUGGGCGUAAAGAGCUCGUAGGCGGUUUGUCGCGUCUGCUGUGAAAUCCCGAGGCUCAACCUCGGGCUUGCAGUGGGUACGGGCAGACUAGAGUGCGGUAGGGGAGAUUGGAAUUCCUGGUGUAGCGGUGGAAUGCGCAGAUAUCAGGAGGAACACCGAUGGCGAAGGCAGAUCUCUGGGCCGUAACUGACGCUGAGGAGCGAAAGCAUGGGGAGCGAACAGGAUUAGAUACCCUGGUAGUCCAUGCCGUAAACGUUGGGCGCUAGAUGUAGGGACCUUUCCACGGUUUCUGUGUCGUAGCUAACGCAUUAAGCGCCCCGCCUGGGGAGUACGGCCGCAAGGCUAAAACUCAAAGGAAUUGACGGGGGCCCGCACAAGCGGCGGAGCAUGCGGAUUAAUUCGAUGCAACGCGAAGAACCUUACCAAGGCUUGACAUACACCGGAAACGGCCAGAGAUGGUCGCCCCCUUGUGGUC
RNAcentral lists this ribosomal RNA (634 nucleotides) under Curtobacterium sp. Ri1Ps_4633. RNAcentral's name for it is "bacterial SSU rRNA". It matches the Rfam family "Bacterial small subunit ribosomal RNA", at positions 382 to 1027 of the family's 1533-position model. Lineage: Bacteria; Bacillati; Actinomycetota; Actinomycetes; Micrococcales; Microbacteriaceae. RNAcentral also lists the same sequence under 4 other names. The record is from RNAcentral.